Pelobates cultripes (western spadefoot toad) is the source of this 339-nucleotide non-coding RNA. Lineage: Eukaryota; Metazoa; Chordata; Amphibia; Anura; Pelobatidae. The record is from the annotation of a GenBank genome assembly.
CGGGCUUCUACCCAGCGUCGAAGGAAAUCGGCGCUGGGGAUCAGGUAAGUAAAUCAAAAGGAUUUUAACCCUUUAUUUAUCAGAGGGGGUGGUGUGGCGACGGAGUGGGGAGGCAGAGGGAUCGGUAGUGCCAGGAAUACAGCUUUGUAUUCCUGGCAUUACAGUAUCCCUUUAAUACACCCACUAUCAAUCAUUAAAUCGUAUAAUCAGAUAAAGCGCGGCUGCACAGUGUCAAUACUCACAUUAUAGAAAUUGAACAUCGAAACUCUCUCCUGUUACAGAUUAUAUAUCUAUAACUAUAUAAAGUUUAUAUAUCUAUACUAGGGAUCGAUCAAUUAU